UCCGGCAAGUUGUCCUUGGCU
RNAcentral lists this microRNA (21 nucleotides) under Corchorus olitorius. The record is from RNAcentral. RNAcentral also lists the same sequence under 1 other name. Lineage: Eukaryota; Viridiplantae; Streptophyta; Magnoliopsida; Malvales; Malvaceae.